Molecule: unclassified non-coding RNA, 907 nt
Filed under: Bombus terrestris (buff-tailed bumblebee)
Lineage: Eukaryota; Metazoa; Arthropoda; Insecta; Hymenoptera; Apidae
Description: misc RNA ENSBTSG00005030779.1
Source: RNAcentral
ACCAGUUGAAUCUGAAGAUAAAAACAGAUGAUAAAUAGUUGAAUUUUGAUAAUUUGAGUCUCAAGGUGAGCACGGAAGAACUAAAAUCUUCUCAGAAGCAAUUAAAGGGGUGAAUUAAAAACAGGGAACAUCCGCUCCAUACGUAUUUUCGCUAUCUUUUUUAUCGGACAAGCGAUCGCAACGACUAACCAUUCGCUCGAGAGGCUAAUAACCGUAAGAAGUACCUAUAUUGCACAGCAUAUCAACUCGCGCAGAGAAGCCAAUUUCAAGCUGCAUUAGCUCCUCGGUGCACUAAGUAAAGGAGAAGUAUAAUCGAGUAUUGAUCGUCCUUUCCACAAUCAAGUUUCUGUUAUCGUAUUUGAAGUUCGUGACUAACUGCAUUUUUCCUGCCAUUUACACACGUACGUACAGUUCAAUUGUUCGUAAAAUUACAAAGUUUUGUAAUACAACCAAUUCUCUAUGUGCACAAAACUUGAUGAUUAUACGCAUUCAUAUAGUUCACCAUAAGAAUCGAAAAUAAAUAUCUCUAGAUACGUACAAGUUUUGAGCGAAGUUCUUUAUGUAUAUGUAUCUAUAUCGUGGAAAUUAGUUACACGAAUAUUUAUAAUAGUGUUUCUUGUGCGAGCGUAAUUGAUCUACAAAAUUAAUUCUGAGCGUAAGAACGAGGACGACGAUCAAAUCUUUUUUGUGUUUUUUUCGUGUCUUCGUGCAUUUCGUGAGUUUGCUCAAUAAUAAAAAAUACGUAACAUUUUUAUCCACACUACUCGAUUAAGACUAGUUUUGCUACGUCUCCGCGGUGAAAAUUGAAUGAGAUUCGCCUGGUGAAAAAUUGCGUCGAUGGAAAAAUCGAGAGAUUAGAAAGUGAAAUGAUUAUUUAAAAUAAGGAUCUCCAUCGUCUAACUUUCUG